Molecule: small nuclear RNA, 112 nt
Organism: Diabrotica virgifera virgifera (western corn rootworm)
Lineage: Eukaryota; Metazoa; Arthropoda; Insecta; Coleoptera; Chrysomelidae
Source: RefSeq, a predicted model, not a curated record
AUACUCGUUUCGGCGGUACAUAUACUAGAAUUGGAACGAUACAGAGAAGGUUAGCAUAUUAUGGUCCUUGCGCAGGGAUGACACGCAAAACCGUGAUUAAAAAAACCAUAAA